GUCUAUAGCCAUGCCAUCCUGAGCAAGCCCAAUCCUGUCUUAUCUCGGAAGCUAAGCAGUGUUGGUCCUGGUUAGUACUUGGAUGGGAGACCACCUAGGAAGACCAGGUGCUGUAGGCA
This 119-nucleotide ribosomal RNA is filed under the name Pteropus alecto (black flying fox). Lineage: Eukaryota; Metazoa; Chordata; Mammalia; Chiroptera; Pteropodidae. The record is from RNAcentral.